GAGAUCACCUCUCUUGGUGUCUUCUGGUGAGCUCAGCUGAAGGCAGGAUGCAAGAUCAUAAAAAUCAUCCUUAUUAACAGUCUAUUAGUAAAUAAACUUCAAGAUAAUGUAAGAUGAGACCACGUACUGAAUGAAAGUCAUUGUAGUCAGCUUAAAUAGAACUGCUGGGCAGUAUCAGAAAACGGGUGGUCAGCGGGGGAAUGGAGCUGAUAGACCCCUCUGCCCUCAUGAGACACCAUUUGGAUUACCGCAUCCAGGCCUGACAUCCCCUAUUCAAGAAAGAUACAGAGCUGUUGAGGUUGGUCCAGAGGAGGGCUACAAAGAUGACGAAAGGGAUGGAGCACCUCUCCUAUAAAGAAAGGCAAAGGCACUCAGGCUUUUUCAGCUUGGAGAAGAGAAAGUUCCCAAGAGACUUCAUUGCAGCUUUCCAGUACUUAAAAGGAGCUUACUGAUAGGAGGCAGACCAACUUCUUAAGAUGAUCUGAUAGCAUUAAUAUAAGAGGGAAUUUUUUUUAAACUAAGAGUGGAGAUUUAGGUUAGAUAUUAGGCAGAAAUUCUUUAUUCAGAGGGUGGUGAGGGACUAAAACAGGCAAACCAGAGAAGCUGUGGAUGCCCUAUUUCUGGAAGCUUUUAUGGCAGUGUAUGGGAACUAUUGACCCUGGCCUGAACCUCUGAUUGACCACCUGAGGCAAGCAGUGAGUCAGCCACAGGAGCACAGGUGAAGGCGAUUCACCUGUGCUACCAGAAGGGGUGGAGCCUGGUUCCACCUCUCCUAGAUCCCAUUUAUAUGCUGACUACCACUGAGGAAGGAUCUCUUUCUGGAGAUUGCUCCCUGAGGAGUUUACUCUGAGCUUACAACACUGUUGAGCUUUUCCAUUUAUUUUGAUUAUCUUUCCAUUGCAAUAAUCUCACUAAGCCUGACCUUUCUACAUCUAUUGAUUGUACAGCCAGGUUGGAUAAGGCCCGGGAAAAGAGGGGUAAACUCUCCCCAGAAAAGUUUUGGAACUAGGUGAUCUUUGAGGUCCCUUCCAAUCCAAAUCAUUCAAUGUCUAGAUAACUAUCUAGCUACUUAAUACAAAGUUCACAACAUUUGAAAAGAGAUUCAGAGCUUUCCAUUUGACGUAGAAACAUGUAAGUGCAUUAGUUAAGAAUUAUGACUAAUUUCUCUGGUUAUGCUGAAGGUUUUUCUACAGCAGUGGCAGUUCUCUUGACAUGAGCACAGAAGGUGAAAGUUGAAAAUCCCUGAAGAAUUAAUUUCAGUUGUAUAAUAUGGCUACAUAGGAAGAAACCUGCAUCUUAAAUAUUUAUACAAUGAUGUUGACGUAGUCAGCAUGGAAAUAAUUUUAAAAAGCUGUUAAAUCAAAAUUAUCUUCUAGGUAGGUUAGAAGGAUGGGAUAAUGUACCAACAGCAGAUUACUACAGUGAUCAUCCCUGUCAGUCUUGCUUACUACAAAUUGCAUUUUGAUGUGGAGUCACUACAUUUUCUUAGUUAACUUCGAUCAUUAGCUUGGCCCAUUCCUGCAGUAUAUGUGUGUUUUCUACCUUAACACCUGUUCACAGACAAACAAAAUGUGUGGCAAGACAUAAGUAGACAUUCAACAUUAGUAGGUGGCUCAAGAUAAUGAGAUACAAAACUAAUUUAUUUUAUUUCAAGGAAAAGCUUCAGUGGCAAUUUCAUUGUCACUGCAGCUAAGGUUGCCUUCGAUUUUCAUGUUAUCAACAAUCCCUUUUUUGUUGGUGAGAAUGAAAUCAUGCACAGCAGCUCUCCUUGUUGCCCCCUCUAUCACUUGGAUAAGGAAACUAUGAAUAUGCUCCAGGAACCUCCUAGAAUGCUUAUGCUGUGUUGUCCCUAUGGUAGAUUUCAUGAGCACUAGGGCUUGUGAAUGUGAGACUACUGUUACUUGUAUGUAGGGGCGUUCAUCCAUGUUGUUUAUCCAUGGUUGAGAGGCCUGUAGCAAGCCUGUCCCUGCCCUACUUUAAUCCUGAUCCUUAAGCUUUUGUUGGGCACCUCAUCCAUACCACAGGAAGGUCCAGGCACUCCAGUUGGUCACUGACAUAUGGAGUGACACCCUCUCUUCAUUUACCCUACCUGACUUUCCUAAAGAACCUGUGUUCUUUCACUACAACCCUCCAGUCAUGAAAGCCAUCAAACCAAUUCCCCAUGAUUGUGAUAAAUCAUAGCUCUGCAAGUGUCUGUACUCUAAGUUCUCUUGUUUAUUCCUCAUAGAAUGGUUUUUAGUUGGAAGGGACCUUUAAGAUCAUCUAUUUCCAACCUCCCUACUAUAGGCAGGGACACCUCCCUCUAAAUCAGGUUGCUCAAAGUGCCAUUCAGCCUGGCUUUAAAUGCUUGCAGGGAGGGGCAUCCACAAUCUCACUGGGCUACCUGUUCCAGCAUCUCACCACCCUCGCAGAACUUUUUCCUAAUAUCUAGCCUAAAUCUACCCUCUUUCAGUUUAAAACCAUUUCUCUUCAUCCUGUCACUUCCUGCCCUUAUAAAAAGUCCCUCCCCAGCUUUCCUGUAGGCUCCUUUCAGGUACUGGAAGGUCGCUAGAAGAUAUUCUUGGAGUUACAUCUGUAACAUUAGAAAAAGUGAAUAAUAAUAGCACAAGGAAAGUACAAAAAAUUAGGCUUUCACAAUUUUGAACUCUGAAAUAUUAGCAGCACACUGAGACAUAUAAAUUCAUUUAGCUGUUUCUGUGGUGGUACUGAGCCCUAAGCUUUGAGUUCAGAGACUUUAAAUACUACCUUAUAAAAAGUCAUAUAUGUAGAUUUGAAUAAGGCCAAACCCAUCAUACAAGGGUUGUUCUAGAGGCUAACUAUGUGGGCCAAAAAAUUAUACUUUUUUUGGUAAAUGUGUCUAGUUGCAAUUUCUAAACUGCGGCAUUUUUAUCUGAUGUACUUACAGAGCACCAUAAUAUGAAUGAACUAUAAAUGUGAUUAAUUUCUUUUAAUAAAUUAAUAGUUCAAAUAUCUCCAAAUAAGACAAAUCCAAAACUCGUGUUUGAAUAGCUUCUUUCCUCUACACUGCCCGGAUUUCCAUAUGCCCUGUAAAUCCUGGAACACAAUGUUCCAAUAAAAGUUCCAGUAACAUUAACAGAGGCUUUAAUAAUUAAUAUUAACAUACAUGUUACUACUUUACUGUUUUUAUUUACUAUAUUCCUGUUCAGGUUUUAAAGUAUUUCUCAAACACUCUCUGUCAGAGUGUUGCAAUGAGAGCUCAUGUCCAUUGCUGCCAACUGCUCUUCAGUUACUGCUAACCUUGACACAGUUUCACAUUUCAUAUUGUUAUUCUUUAUUCUGUUUUUAUUAUUUAACCUUCAGCAGUUCAUCUUGCUUUCAGUGAGUUCAGUUUAUUCACUGGUGCUGAUUGUUACAUUGGCCUUUAAUGAUUGACCUGUUUUUUUUUUCUACAUUAUAAAUCUAUGACCUGUACCAAUUUUACCUGUACUUUCUAAUGAAUCCCAAUUUACAAAAGAAUAAAAUUUAGAACAAAUUCAUGCAAGGAUGAAGCAUGCAUUUUUAAUGGUGAAACUUUAUUUAGUGGUUUAUUUGGCACUUCUAAAAUUUUAACCAGCUACAUACUAGCUGGCAGUAUUAAUGAAAACAACAUAGAAAAAUAUAAGCAUAAUAAUAUUUGUCCAGUUUAUAAACACUGAUGGUGGGAUGACACUGGAGCAAUAUGAAGCUUCUGAAUAACUAAGCAUUGUAAUAAUGAACUCUGAAAUUCUUUUUAUUCUAUUAUGCUUAAUAAGUACUCAGUCUGUCACCUGCACAGAAACUUAUGCAUUUUUAAAGACAAUAGUACAACUAAAUCAAAAAGUCGUAUAGCAGAUGUUAGAGUUCACCCUGGGAUAUAUCCAUUUCAAAAUUCAUUGCGAGUACUUCUUGUGUUAAAGCCUUUCUUGCCAAGCAAUGUCCAGUUAGUCUUUAGCAUAACAUGACUGCGUAAGUCUUUAUUCAAAUAUGUGGAAAAGAAGAAAAUACAAGGUUGCCAUAAAUUUUAGUUAUUAUAAUAUGAUUGCAUGUAGAUGCUUAGCAAUAGGUUACUAAUAUAGUUUUGACAUGAGAUAGGUAUGUCCCAGGUGAGUCUUUCUUUAAAAUAUGAGUAGCUGAAUGCAGUUAACAGUGUAACAAAGGAACACUGAGGUAAAAAAAUGCCUCUGAAGAUGGAAUGGGAUUCUUCCUCAAUUCUUAAGAUUUUGGUUCUGAAACAUAGAUAGGCCAUAGAUGUGUCACUUUCUCAAAAAAUGAAGAGUGUCUGUCUACUGAUAUUCUUCACAUAACAUAUGGAAGCAUAAAUGACUGCAAAAGUGGAACAAGUGCAUGGAAUUAGGCAUUUUCUACCGUAUAAUCUUGUCUACAGCCCUUUUUUUUUAUAUCUUUUGUUUUCAUUUUUUAAAAGAAACCAGAUAACCAAGCAGAGUCCCAUUUACAACUAAACAAAAAUAUAUUAUAAUGAAGUAAAAUGACAAGGAUUUGUGGUUUAUUUAAUAAGAAAACUCUUAUUGUAUUCACAAGCUUAUGUGGAAGUUUCUUCCUUAUGAAGUAUUUAUGGCCAUGUUUUAUUUAUAGAAUGCUGCUGCUGUUGUGUGCCACAUAUCAUGCA
Long non-coding RNA from Lagopus muta (rock ptarmigan), 4606 nucleotides. RefSeq lists it as uncharacterized. The record is from RefSeq and is a predicted model, not a curated record. Lineage: Eukaryota; Metazoa; Chordata; Aves; Galliformes; Phasianidae. The transcript is spliced from 3 exons.